UAUGAAGAACGUAGCAAAAUGCGAUACUUGGUGUGAAUUGCAGAAUCCCGUGAACCAUCGAGUUUUUGAACGCAAGUUGCGCCCGAAGCCUUUUGGCCGAGGGCACGUCUGCCUGGGCGUCACGCAUCGCGUCGCCCCCCACAAUUCUCCGUAAAGGGAACAUGUGUUUUGGGGGCGGAUAUUGGUCUCCCGUGCUCAUGGCGUGGUUGGCCGAAAUAGGAGUCCUUUCGAUGGACGCACGAACUAGUGGUGGUCGUAAAAACCCUCGUCUUUUGUUUCGUGCUGUUGCUCGCAAGGUAAACUCUUUAAAAACCCCAAUGUGUCGUCUCUUGACGACGCUUCGACCGCGACCCCAGGUCAGGCGGGACUACCCGCUGAGUUUAAGCAUAUCAAUAAGCGGAGGA
Molecule: unclassified non-coding RNA, 404 nt
Filed under: soil metagenome
Description: partial contains 5.8S ribosomal RNA, internal transcribed spacer 2, and large subunit ribosomal RNA
Rfam family: 5.8S ribosomal RNA (bases 2-122)
Source: RNAcentral